GUGAUCAAGUGUGUUUGAACAUGGGUACCACUAUGGUUCUGUUAGGAAAAGUCUUGGCCGUUGGGAGUGAGGAGUUUGUGAACGAAGAUAACGAAAUGUACGCCGAAAUUCAGGUUUUAUGCCACAGACCGGGAUGUGUUGAAUUCCUUGAUAAUGUUAUUCCUGGUCAAAGCAAGGAGCUUGACGCCUAUGUCCCAAUAGUUAGAUUAUAUACAAAUCUACUAACCAAAGUUUCACGAGGUA
Patella vulgata (common limpet) is the source of this 243-nucleotide long non-coding RNA. RefSeq lists it as uncharacterized. Lineage: Eukaryota; Metazoa; Mollusca; Gastropoda; Patellidae. The record is from RefSeq and is a predicted model, not a curated record. The transcript has 3 exons.